Molecule: ribosomal RNA, 253 nt
Filed under: uncultured prokaryote
Description: partial 16S ribosomal RNA
Rfam family: Bacterial small subunit ribosomal RNA
Source: RNAcentral
UACGUAGGCAGCGAGCGUUGUUCGGAGUUACUGGGCGUAAAGGGUGUGUAGGCGGUUUUCUAAGUCUGGUGUGAAAUCUCCCGGCUCAACUGGGAGGGUGCGCCGAAAACUGGAAGGCUAGAGUGCGGGAUGGGUAAGUGGAAUUCCUGGUGUAGCGGUGAAAUGCGUAGAUAUCUGGAGGAAUACCGGUGGCGAAGGCGGCAUCCUGGACCGACAUUGACGCUGAACGGCGAAAGCUAGGGGAGCAAACGGG